Molecule: ribosomal RNA, 731 nt
Filed under: uncultured bacterium
Lineage: Bacteria
Description: bacterial SSU rRNA
Rfam family: Bacterial small subunit ribosomal RNA
Source: RNAcentral
AACAGGAUUAGAUACCCUGGUAGUCCACGCUGUAAACGAUGUCGACUUGGAGGUUGUGCCCUUGAGGCGUGGCUUCCGGAGCUAACGCGUUAAGUCGACCGCCUGGGGAGUACGGCCGCAAGGUUAAAACUCAAAUGAAUUGACGGGGGCCCGCACAAGCGGUGGAGCAUGUGGUUUAAUUCGAUGCAACGCGAAGAACCUUACCUACUCUUGACAUCCAGAGAAUUUGCUAGAGAUAGCUUAGUGCCUUCGGGAACUCUGAGACAGGUGCUGCAUGGCCGUCGUCAGCUCGUGUUGUGAAAUGUUGGGUUAAGCCCCGCAACGAGCGCAACCCUUAUCCUUUGUUGCCAGCACGUAAUGGUGGGAACUCAAAGGAGACUGCCGGUGAUAAACCGGAGGAAGGUGGGGAUGACGUCAAGUCAUCAUGGCCCUUACGAGUAGGGCUACACACGUGCUACAAUGGCAUAUACAAAGAGAAGCGAACUCGCGAGAGCAAGCGGACCUCAUAAAGUAUGUCGUAGUCCGGAUUGGAGUCUGCAACUCGACUCCAUGAAGUCGGAAUCGCUAGUAAUCGUAGAUCAGAAUGCUACGGUGAAUACGUUCCCGGGCCUUGUACACACCGCCCGUCACACCAUGGGAGUGGGUUACAAAAGAAGUAGGUAGCUUAACCUUCGGGAGGGCGCUUACCACUUUGUGAUUCAUGACUGGGGUGAAGUCGUAACAAGGUAACC